GGCGAGCACUCUACGGGAGGCAGCAGUGGGGAAUAUUGCACAAUGGGCGCAAGCCUGAUGCAGCCAUGCCGCGUGUAUGAAGAAGGCCUUCGGGUUGUAAAGUACUUUCAGCAGUGAGGAAGGUGGGUAUGUUAAUAGCAUAUUCAUUUGACGUUAGCUGCAGAAGAAGCACCGGCUAACUCCGUGCCAGCAGCCGCGGUAAUACGGAGGGUGCGAGCGUUAAUCGGAAUUACUGGGCGUAAAGCGCAUGCAGGUGGUUUGUUAAGUCAGAUGUGAAAGCCCGGGGCUCAACCUCGGAAUUGCAUUUAGAAACUGGACAAACUAGAGUACUGUAGAGGGGGUAGAAUUUCAGGUGUAGCGGUGAAAUGCGUAGAGAUCUGAAGGAAUACCGGUGGCGAAGGCGGCCCCCUGGACAGAUACUGACACUCAGAUGCGAAAGCGUGGGGAGCAAACAGGAUUAGAUACCCUGGUAG
RNAcentral lists this ribosomal RNA (473 nucleotides) under uncultured bacterium. Its description in RNAcentral is "bacterial SSU rRNA". It matches the Rfam family "Bacterial small subunit ribosomal RNA", at positions 328 to 793 of the family's 1533-position model. The record is from RNAcentral.